Molecule: long non-coding RNA, 192 nt
Organism: Molossus molossus (Pallas's mastiff bat)
Lineage: Eukaryota; Metazoa; Chordata; Mammalia; Chiroptera; Molossidae
Exons: 3
Source: RefSeq, a predicted model, not a curated record
GCAUUGUGCUUAACACCACAGGCUUGGGUUUACUGGGUCAAAAGAGUCUGCAGAGUUCUGAAAACUGUUCCCACAAUCUGCAUGCCCCAAUCUACACAAAGCACCAUGUGGCUGAGAAACCGGUUAUAACAGCUGCAUAGUACUCCAUUGUGUAUAUGUACCACAUGAAGCUCCUUUCUGAAUGAUCUAUCU